RNAcentral lists this ribosomal RNA (31 nucleotides) under Fasciola gigantica. RNAcentral's name for it is "partial 28S ribosomal RNA". The record is from RNAcentral. Lineage: Eukaryota; Metazoa; Platyhelminthes; Trematoda; Plagiorchiida; Fasciolidae.
UGACCUCGGUUUGGACUUGAUUACCCGCUGU